GCCACUCCUCCACCAAUCGAGGAGUCUGUCUACAAAUACUCAAAUUUCGAGGAGCUGAGGCGUUCCCCGGCGUUCGUCGACAAAACUCUCCUCAUAAAGCAUCUGCUGGACCAAAAACUGAAUCUCUCUACGCGGCUGUAUAUAACAGCGCCUGGCCUCUUCGGCAAGACGCUAAACCUCGACAUGCUUGAUCGCUUCCUAAGAUUACAAAGGCAAGACACAGGAGAGCUGAUGGAACACCCCGCGUCCAACCAGACUAAAUUAUUCUCAGGCACAAAGAUUUCAACCCAAGAGAAUGAUUUUAUCCACGCCCAUCAUGGACAAUACAUCGUACUGCGCUUAUCACUAGGACCGUUUAUAAUAUAACGACCUACAAUAUGUUCAAAGACACCCUGUGCAGCAUUAUCAGCGACGCGGAAUGGCAGAUAGACUCGAUGUCAGGCAAGUCGAGUGACGAAAAAAUGACGUCGCUUGCGUAUUAUCGCGAGCACUGCAGAUUGAACUUCCUGUCUGCGGCGGAUAUACUACCAUCUCGGCUAAAGCGCCUGUCGGAGACCCUCGAGAAAAGGGCCGUCUUGCUUUGGGACGACUUGGACAUACUGUUGCGUGCAUCGAUCAGGAGAACGCUUCCGGAUACGAAAUCUAUCUAUAAACUAUGAGCCGCGUCAUAGUUCGACUUACGCACUCCGACGUCGUUAGACUGUCUGUGGCUGUCGGGAGGUUGAAUUUUGGAGGUGUGAUGUCCAGUAUUGCCAACUGUACUCACGUUGCCUUCAACGGAAAUGCAGGUUUGGCUCCGUUUUUGGUCUGACCAAAAGUGAGGUCCACGAUCUUGUGGAGGCUUACCGUUUGCCUUUGCCGCAGCAAAUUGAGCUUUACUACAACGGUUACGAGGUUAUGGGCUCAGAUUUGCGCAUCUACAACUCGUUUUCGAUUGCGUCACUCGUCGGGUCGAAGAGGUUCGACUUCUACUGGCAGAAUCAGGUCGCGCCUUUAUUCCCGUUCACGCAGCUUUUUGCCACGCCAUUGAUCGGUACACAGGUGGCAUUCAGCGUCUUCGCGAAGUGGAUCUCCGCCCCGAAAGACAUCCCUCCAUCCAUCGGAUCAGUCACAAACCUACAGGCGCAGCUCGAGAGGAUGACCCCGAAGAUCAACGAGACCCACUCCGCCGUUUUCAUGUCGUACCUCCUGGAAACGGGUUACUACACCAUCGGCGCCCACAAUCAAGGCUCGCAAAUGCGUCUGGCCGACUUGGAGACGGUGGUCCCUGUGAUGGCUCAGCUCUUCUUGAGCGGCUACUACGAGCGCUACUACGAGUACACGAGCAACGCCAAAGUGAUAUUCCUGGCCGCCGUCGCCACACUGUCCCCUAACCAAAGUUCCUAUGACCGACUUGCCAUGGCCAUACACAACCUGUAUCACUAUACUUGCUCCAAGCUAGUCGACCAGCGACCGGGGUUGCUGGGCAAUUUAGUUGCCAUCUUCUCCUCGACGCAGGCGGUGCAUGCUGGUGUCACGGAUGUCGUGUACGGGAAGCGGGUGCCGCUCGACAAACGGAAGAGUGAAGGACACGCUUUUGGGAGUUUGGACCUGAUGGUAACGUUUGGAAACCAGACGUCGCAACAUCUGGGCGUCCUGAUGGAGCUGGUCCUUUGGAAAUCAGCCGAGCUGGCGAUGACUCAGCUAGAGACCUUCAAGUAUAUGGAGGCUUUCAAUGAUUUGCCGGAGGAAAUGCGCCCGAAAGAUGUUGUUUUGUUGGGCGUGAAUUUGGACAAAACGUGCAAGUGCACGGUGAGGUACAAGUUCGGCAAGGAGAGUACCGGUCAAACAUCUUUCCCAAAACCACGAAACCCUGAAAAGUAAAAGAAAACUUGGAUGUGUUUCUGCCAAAAGGAACUAUGUGCAUUAUGACGAGAGCUCUGUUAUGCAUAUAUCUGCCGUGAUAGCGAAGAGAACCGUAAGAGCAAAAUUUUCGAAAUCGAGUUUCCUUCAAAAUUCGUCUAAACUCUUUUAGAUGAAAUUACUGAGACAGCUAAAGCAGCAAAAUUCAUCCUAAUUUAAUGAAAACGAGACGUAUGAGAAAGCCGUAAGUGCACAAAAAAUGACAUAGUUUCUUUCAAGACAGCCGUAGGUGCAUGAUAGCCAAUGAAAACAGUGCUUUCCAGUAAAGUGCCGCCCUCUUCUGCCAAUUUCUAACCUGAAAAUGUGUUUGUUGUGCGUCCAAAACGCAACUACGAAAGCAUGCAGAAUAUAGCACUUACGGCUGACUUGCCUAACAAUAACCUAGCAUAAAAUUAAAAAUACCCUUUUAAUGUAAUGGAAAUAAAAUCAGUCGAUUUUUAAUCAUCCAUAAGAUUUCUAGGAGUCUUCUGCACGAUUAGUGGCAAUUUGACAAAGAACGGAGGCUUCUUUCAAUAAAAUGUUCUUGUCAGAAGCUUCUGAGCCCGUUUUCUCAAAACUUCAUUUUUGCACUUACGGCUCUCUUCGCUAUCACGGCAGAUAUUCUUAUGGGUCUCAAGGCUCAUGUCUGAAUGCACACUGUUCUAUUUGAAUGAAAUACGUCCACUAGAGCGAAAUAUUGAGAUGAAUCUUCCUUAUCAGAUGUACAAGGAGGUUAAUUUUUGUCGAGAAGCUCAAUUUUAAUGUUCAUGGGUGGUUUCACGAUAACUGGAAUAGUUUUGUCGCCGUAACAGACGACACAUUUUUUGGUCAUAUUUUUAGUAGAAAUGAUAAUCACUCGAAUUUCUUCGCAUUAAGCUUCAAAGGGUUGCGCAUUAUAACGCUUUCUAAUGAUUUAUUGCUCUCGAUUAAUAUUAUGUAAAUUCCGAAAAUGUGCUGUCUGUUACGCGGUAGAAAGUCAGCGUACCAGACAGCACAUUUUCGGCCAUUUAUAUAUAAAAAUUGAAAAGCAGAGCGAUAAAUCUUUGAAAAGCGUUAUAACACGUAACCCUAUGUGUAGAUUAAUGCACAGAAAUUCGAGUGAUCAUUAUUACUGCUAAAAUAUGACCGAAAAAUGUGUUAUCGUGAAACCGCCCUCAUGCAUUGUUUCAAGUUGGCAUGAAACUAAACAUUGGAAUGAACCACAAGACAAAGUACGACUUUAAGCAUUUUGAUAUGUGUAUCGUAAGCAAAAUUUUACGUAUAACACGAUUCGCGCAAAAUGAAUGACGUUUUAGGAGAAAAUUUUCCAGCCUUAAGAGGGUGGGGUCUAGACUUCGAGAUACCUUUCCUCGUGGCUGUACGCCACUGAUGAGUAUGAAGUGGAGAGUUUUGGUCAAACAGUUAUCCCGAAAACUGCAUCCUCAUAGAUUCAAGAAAUUUAUCAAGUGAAAAAGGUGCGAUGGGUGGUUUUUUAUUGGAAAAACAGGAAAUAUAAUAUUUUUAAUGAAACUGAUUCGAAUAAAUGAGUUAAGAAUGAGAAAGUGCAGUAGCUGAAGUUCUGGCCGACCAUCUUUCCAAAACCAACAUACUGAAGCUUAAAUGGUUUACCUGACGAAGAGUUGUGGUGGAUGGUUUUUUUAUUCAUAUUUUCUCUGUUGAGGGUGUUGAACUGGACCAUGAUUUUGAUGAUUUCCUACAGUUUUUAUCCAUUGCAAUUUUGUUUGUCAUAUACUUUAUGGUGAUAUCUCGAAUGUAGGUGAUGAAGGGUCUUGGAUAACGACAAUAGUACUUUUGAUGAGGAACCG
This 3686-nucleotide long non-coding RNA is filed under the name Bemisia tabaci. RNAcentral's name for it is "lncRNA ENSSSA2NGG007650". Lineage: Eukaryota; Metazoa; Arthropoda; Insecta; Hemiptera; Aleyrodidae. The record is from RNAcentral.